GAAUUCCAAAGCUUUAUGGGCGCCCUUCCGUCCGGAGCUCCCUGGAGCUGCGCCUCGUGGGCUGUGAUUUACACAGGGGCUGAGGCUUGGGCCUGAGUUGGUUCCAGAUCAUAGGGACUGUGACAAGGCUGAAGACCCUUCUCCCUAUCCCAGGAGGAGCCCAGGAACGCAAGCGAGAGCCUCUGCAAGUCACCCCAGCUGCCGCGUUUCCACCCAGGAGGAAGACGCACGUGGGGCGGCACGAGAGAUAGACGGAGG
Molecule: long non-coding RNA, 258 nt
Filed under: Homo sapiens (human)
Lineage: Eukaryota; Metazoa; Chordata; Mammalia; Primates; Hominidae
Description: HSALNT0000947
Source: RNAcentral